Molecule: long non-coding RNA, 2182 nt
Organism: Benincasa hispida (wax gourd)
Lineage: Eukaryota; Viridiplantae; Streptophyta; Magnoliopsida; Cucurbitales; Cucurbitaceae
Source: RefSeq, a predicted model, not a curated record
GAAGUGACAGAAGUUAAGCAGCGACAUUACCUCAAAUGAGAAGCAACCACUAUGUUAUUUGAAAAGUUGAUCCAUUAGGAUGGCAGAUCUCAUCAAUUUUACAACAGAAACUAUGCAUGCUUGAGAGUCGAGAGAGAAUGGAAUUGAUAUUUUGAAAAAUAAAAUGCAUGGUUUUGAGGAGAUUAUCAAACAAUGAAACAACUAAUCAACCAGCCAAUGAAUUGAACAUGCAUACAAAGAAGACAUGACGUCUUGCAUAAACGUUACAAGGAAGACUAGUCACAUUAUUUAGAGAUAAAAUCUUCUUAUGCAAUUGCAAGAAAUUCCCAACGCCAAUAUAGAAAUCGUGUAGUUGGUAGCCUCAUGCGAUGGGAAUGACAUGACGCACGGGCCGUGGAAAUCAAAUCAAAGACCAAGUUGGUGGCUGACAAGAAAGCUUCAUGACAGAGCCAAUGAACUUUUGAUGCGGAGCAGGCGGCACACUAGGGUAUGGAAUUUAAUGCACCUUAUCAGCAUAAUCAUUAGUAAGAGAAGAAAAGCUGCCCUUUGAAGCUUAUAAAUACCCUAAGAGACUUCCAUGCAAAAGAAAACAAGGACAUCGGGGAAAAACUCUGCCCAAAUUCUUCAAAAAAAUUUACUCUUUGAGCCCUAGUGAAAUCUUAAGUGAAAGCUUAGGAUUUCUCUCUGGAAGCAGAAAGGGAACUUCACCUCCAACACUCUUUUUGAAGCAGUCAUCUCAAGUACCAUUCAAAUCUUUGAGUGCAUUGCCUCUUUGGGUGAAGAAGAGAAGAGCCAAAGGAAGAAAUCUUCUUUUGUGAUCGCAAGAAAUUCUCAACACCAAUAUAGGAAAGGUAUAGUUGGUGGCCUCAUGCGAUGGGGAAUGACAUGGCGCAUGGGCGGUGCAAGUCAAAUCAAAGACCAAGUUGGUGGCUAACAAGAAAGCUUCACAACAGAGCCAAUGAACUUAUGACGCGGAACAGGCGGCACAUCAGGGUAUGGAAUUUAAUGCACCUUAUCAGCAUAAUCAUUAGUAAGAGAAGAAAAACUGCCCUUUGACGCCUAUAAAUACCCUACGAGACUUCCAUGCAAAAAACGAGGACAUUGGGGAAGAACUUUGCCCAAAUUCUUACUUCAAAAGAUAUUUCCUCUUCGAGCCCUCGUGAAAUCUUAAGUGAAAGCAUAAGAUUUAUCUCUGGGCGCAAAAAGGGAAUUUCACCUCCAACACUCUUUUUGAAGCAGUCAUCUACAGAGCUGGAGGGAGCAAGGAAUUGCAUAAUGGCUUGAUUCUUUAUCUCCAUUCCAUAGUUGCAUAUGUAUUGUGUAAACGUUGAAAGACUUCUUUUUCUCAAUAUGCAUGCAUCUUCAAUCUAUCUUUUAUCCAUCUCCUCAACUUUUAUCAUGAACAACUGAUUUCUUUAUGGGUUGAAAAACAUUGCAGCUAACAUGAACUAAGUAAAGCUUAAUUAUGCGUUCAACUUGCUUUAUGUAUGCUUUAUAAACCACUUGAAUGAGUCGAGAGAUCAUUCUAAGUAGAUUGAAAACUAGGCUUGAAAAGGCCAAAGAUUUAGACCUCAUAAAACAAGGAGAGCAUCUUUAGAAAUGAAGAAAUAUCUAUUGCAUCAAAUACUCAUCGCAUGCAUCCUAGAGAUAGGAUAUUGUGCCUAAAUACACUAAGAAAUGCAAGUUGUAAUUUGAAUGAGUAAAAAAAUGCAUUAACAAGAUUUCACAUAACACUCACUUCAUCGCAUAAUUAAAACACAUCACCUAUGCGCUAGCCAACUACGCCACCACCCCUAGUUAGAUUUCAUGUUCCCCUCGAGGCUUCGACUUUGAAGACAUUAGGUUCUGUUUUGUAUAGUUGAAGCCCAUUCAUUGGGUUCCUUUUUUGGGCUUUGUAUGCCUUUGUAUUCUGUUAUUUUUACUCUUGUUAUUAUCUUUUUAAAAAAGAACCUUUCUAACAAGGAUUCUCUCUAAUUUUAUAGGUAUACAAACCUCACACUUAUGUUUGCAAAUGUCCUCAUUUAUAUUUUAUGCAAAAGAUCCUAUGCCUAGUAUGCAUUAUUUGGUGAUGAUAGCUACUUAUUAGGUCAGAUGCAACGCCAAACUUUGUUGGGUUGUGGAAGCUACCAUUGCAAAAAUUGGCAACUGACCAUUAGAGCAAAUUCUAUUGUAGAAUUGUGGG